AAGCCUAUCAGUGCACGUGCACCGAUUAAUGCUAUCGGGUGAGUGCAGAUCAAUUUGAUAGCCCAACCCAGCUGGAGAAGAAACAUCGAGCUACUCCAUAAAUGAAGACAGCUAUUGGUGCGAAGAUAAACAUGAUGGAAGCCAUCCAGGAUACAUCUUCUUCGGAAAGCGGAGCAUCCGAAGAAUGGACGGUCGAUGGGGCCGCAAAGUCUUGGAGUAGCGGCCACGGGCAGGCGUCCCGCAAGAUGGAUCGAUGGUCAAGGUUGCGGGAGCAUCCUGGAUGCACACAGGACCGGUCAUCGUGGCGAUCUUUGGGGGAGCCCUAUGCCCACCAGUGGGCGACUUAUGG
Molecule: long non-coding RNA, 349 nt
Organism: Papilio xuthus (Asian swallowtail)
Lineage: Eukaryota; Metazoa; Arthropoda; Insecta; Lepidoptera; Papilionidae
Exons: 3
Source: RefSeq, a predicted model, not a curated record